Molecule: long non-coding RNA, 945 nt
Filed under: Capsicum annuum
Lineage: Eukaryota; Viridiplantae; Streptophyta; Magnoliopsida; Solanales; Solanaceae
Description: long non-coding RNA (CANN_LNC015355)
Source: RNAcentral
UUUAUCUUCUUAAUCUCUUACAUCCAAUAGUCUAACUUCUUAGUGUUAAUCGAAGGAUAAUACUAUGGUCCGUAUAAGAACCGACCCUUGAAACAUGGUGAAAUGUCCACCCAUACUACACAAAUAGUAAGAGAAGUAAUAGGGUCUCCACCCUUCCAUAACUGACCUUGUGGGUUUUCUCGCUAAAGUUCACCCUUGUAUACGACAUAAAAUUCUUGCACCAAUAUAUCGCUGUAUUUCUUGGGCUCUCUCAUCAUCCAUUAAAACCCAUACUUCCUGAAUCAUUCCUUCAAUCAAGGUAUCUCUGACAUCUUGGUAGUCAUUAACAUCAACUUAAGAUAUAACACCCAUUUGAUGUUUCCAUGCUAAAGUCUUCUCAACCAAAUAUUAAACAUCUCUUGUAUACUGAGGUACCCCCAUCGUUUAAAGAUAGGCACCGAGAAAUGGUAAGUGCUAGUAGGGGAUGUUAUCUUUCGAUUGGAGUGGCAUCAACCUCUUUUGUACGAUUGGAAUUUCUUAAACUAUCUUUCUUGGAGCUUGCUUAAACAUCAUUAUAAGCAUCAGAGGGUGGUGGUGUAUGCAGAAGUGAGACAUCAAUUUUUUUUUUCCUUGGGCCCCAUGGAGGUAGUGAUUCCUUUGGGAGUAAAACCGUUUUCCCCUUUCUAUUUUUAGCUACUUUUCCUUUUUGGGUAGUUUUACCCAUUGUUGUUCCAUUCUAUAAAUCACCACUACUGGUGGUUAACAAUGAAUAUUCUGAGCUAGUAUUCUCAGGCUUAGUAGAUUGUGCCUUCUUGUGGCUCUUUUUGUCUUCUUUAUUAGUUGAGGCUGCAUUCUUAAGAGGCAUUGUUCUUUGAAGAAAACCAUCAUUAGAAUGAAAUUAAAGAAAUAAAUGGAUAAAUUUUAAUUCAAAGAUCAGUGUGCAUGAUUUUGUGAGGGUAUGAAUGA